AUUGGGAACCAUUCUCUCCAAAUCCUCUAGCAUCCAUUUUUCCAUCCUUCCCAAUUGUCUGCCUUCUCCCAUAAGGCUCAGACAUGGGAGAUUUUAACCUCUUUGUUUUGUCCAUGUCAUAUGCUAGUGGUUCAAUCCCCUGCAAAUCAGGCUCUGGAACAAAGCCAAUAGGCCGUUUUUCAUCAUCCAUUUUUCUAAAUGUGAUAGAUAUCCUCUUUGAUGUAACUGAAGGCACACAGUGCUUAGACACAUCAGCUGCAUUUCCAUUUAACACAAGAACAGAUCCUACAGGUAGAGGGAUUGCAAUUGAUCCAGUAAACUCGCCAGCACGCACAACCUUCAAGUUAGUUCCAAAUACUAUAUUGCACUCGCUAACAAAUGACACCGUGCAGAAAGGCCGAACAAAAUCAUGAUUGUCAAUAUGUGGAGGUAUACAGUCCCCUUUAUCAUAAAUAUUAACAAUGCAACUAUCAGGUACACAAGUCGGGGGGAGAACAUGCCACUUGAUCAGCCAUCUAAUGAUCACUUUAAAGAGCUUAGGUAUAGGAUCUACAAUUUCAUUCUGGAGGAUGCCAGGUGGAUUACCAUUUUUGUCUGUUGCAUAAUUGUAACAACAACCAAAUUGGAUGGUUACGCGCCCUUUGCCCCUCAUCCACUUCUGUGGGGCUGUAUAUGUUCUCUCUUUCAGUUUUCCUUUGCUCCCCAACUCUUGGAGUUCAUGCACAUAAUUAACUAUUCUUGUCUGCUCUACAGCACUGAAAACAAGAGAGUGUAGUUCAAGUCCCUCAAGAAUAUUAACAAUCUUUCCUUUGACCCUCUCCAAACAAAUAAAAUC
RNAcentral lists this unclassified non-coding RNA (835 nucleotides) under Hevea brasiliensis (rubber tree). Lineage: Eukaryota; Viridiplantae; Streptophyta; Magnoliopsida; Malpighiales; Euphorbiaceae. The record is from RNAcentral.